This is a long non-coding RNA of Uloborus diversus, 2050 nucleotides long. RefSeq lists it as uncharacterized. The transcript has 3 exons. The record is from RefSeq and is a predicted model, not a curated record. NCBI's taxonomy places the organism in Eukaryota, Metazoa, Arthropoda, Arachnida, Araneae, Uloboridae.
GCAAGAUUCGAUUCCAUAAAAUUCGAGUGUUGUAGUUAAUGUUUAUUUUCUAUGUUUUUCGCACAUGUGAAACAACGAAAUAUCGAUCUGAACAACAUUAUAUACAAAUACAGCGGCUUCAAGUUCACUGAAAUUAAUUUCUGUAUUUUAAGUGCUGUUUAUUGAAUAGUUUCAGACAUUCAAUCAAAGAUGAAAAUAGUGAAAAUAAAUAAAGCUGAUAAACAAAUGACCGCUUCUUAUUCUUCUUCUGAUGCACAACUGCUACAAGUGUUUAAUUUCUCCAAAUGUUGUAAAAGCUGAAAUAAUUUAAAUUGUGUGAUUCUGUACCAGGGAGACUAUUUUACUUAGCUCUCUUUUUAUCAUAACUAUUGAAAACUUGUGACAAGUGGCUAGUGCAGAAGAUAAUGUAUCCUGGAAUUAUGAUUAGAUUUUGCUGCAAUGUAGACAUUUGAUUGUUACUGCUGAAAUCUGUUUUUCCAAAGUAGCAGCAUUUCAUCAAAUGAUGUAUGAGAACUGUGCAAAAGAAAUUUGACUGUGAUAAUUAUUGAAUUUUUCAAAGUUUUUAUGCUAAACUGCAAUUUAGGUAUAAAGGAAAUAAUGUGACCUCCAAAAAUUGUUUUAUUCAUUUAUUAGUUAUUUUAUUCUAUGUGUAACUAUGUAAGCAAUUUUGUAUAAUGUAAUUUUCAUCAUAAGAUAUUAUUUGCUAAGCAGUUUUAUGAGUGCUUACUAUUAAUUUUGAAUUAGAUUUUGUAAACUGUGCAUUGUGUUACAACCUCAUCUUAAUAGCACAGUGAAAUCCUGCUACAACAAAUGCCAAUGCAACAGAAUAUCUGUUUCAAUGAAGUAAACUUUCAAUCAGUUUAAUUUCUAUUACAGUGAAAAAAAAAAAAAAAAAAAAAAAAAAAAAUCCCUUGAAGUUGUUGUUGCAGAAUUUCACUGUAUAUUGUUAAAAUAUCCUUUUGAUUUCUCUCCUCAGAAUUUCCUCUUUUUUUCCCUCUCUCUCAUCUUUAGUAGAUUUGAGUUCAAAGUAAUAGAUCUGUUGUACAUGUGAUUUUUAUGUUUACAAAUACAAAUACAAAAGAGACGACCAGCAACAGGCUCUGGGCCCAGCUAGACUGGUCCUAGUCAAUUUAUAAUCCCCAGUGAAGAUCAAUGGCCCUCUUAAAACUAUCUACUCCCUUGCUCAUUACCACCUCUUCGGGUAAGCUGUUCCAAGGUUCCACUACCCUGCUGAAAUAAUAAUUUUUCCUAAUAUCCAUGUUCGCCUGAGAUUUAAAUAACUUAAAACUAUGACCCCUUGUCCUGUUUUCAGUGCUAAACUUCAGCCCUGUAACAUCUUUCAUUUUAAUAAAUUUAAACAACUGAAUCAUGUCCCCUCGGUCUCUUCUUUGCUCAAGACUAUACAUUUUUAGCCUUCUAAGCCUGGAAUCAUAGUCCAAGUGAGAAAGUCCAUUUAUUAGUCUUGUAGCCCGCCUUUGAAUCCUUUCCAAUACAUUAAUAUCUUUCUUAAGAUGAGACCAAAACUGAACAGCAUAUUCCAAAUGAGAUCUUACCAAACUUCUAUAUAAGGGCAGAAGAACUUCUUUAGAUUUGUUUGAAAUAGAUCUAUUGAUAAACCCAAGCAUCUUAUUGGCUUUGUUACUAGCAAUGCUGCACUGUUGGCUAAACUUUAAAUCCUGACUUUUUAAGACCCCCAGAUCAGUAACUUUGUCUGCCUGACUAAUGACUUUACCUUGCAAAUAAUAACUUGUACACUUGUUUCCAUGCCCUAAAUGUAGCACUUGACAUUUCCCAACAUUAACAGCCAUAUCCCAUUUAUCAGUCCACUCCGUAAUAUGAUCUAGAUCAGUGGUUCCCAGCCUUUUUUGGCCCAUCGCCCCUUUUGAAAGUUAAAUUACGCUUAUCGCCCCCGUGUUCUUCCCUUAAAAACACAAAUUAGAUGGCAGUAAUUUUAGUGAAGUUUAAUGUUACUGAACGCCUAAUUUUAGUUUAAAUCUUCAAAAAGUGCAUGAUAAAGCAAUAAUUAACUUUAAAACUGAAUUUUAUAUUC